RNAcentral lists this ribosomal RNA (445 nucleotides) under uncultured bacterium. Its description in RNAcentral is "SSU rRNA". It matches the Rfam family "Bacterial small subunit ribosomal RNA", at positions 26 to 518 of the family's 1533-position model. The record is from RNAcentral.
AGAGCGAACGCUGGCGGCAGGCCUAACACAUGCAAGUCGAGCGGCCGUAGCAAUACGGCAGCGGCAGACGGGAGAGUAACACGUGGGAACGUACCCUUUGGUUCGGAACAACACAGGGAAACUUGUGCUAAUACCGGAUAAGCCCUUACGGGGAAAGAUUUAUCGCCAAAGGAUCGGCCCGCGUCUGAUUAGCUAGUUGGUGGGGUAACGGCCCACCAAGGCGACGAUCAGUAGCUGGUCUGAGAGGAUGAUCAGCCUCACUGGGACUGAGACACGGCCCAGACUCCUACGGGAGGCAGCAGUGGGAAUAUUGGACAAUGGGCGCAAGCCUGAUCCAGCCAUGCCGCGUGGAUGAUGAAGGCCCUAGGGUUGUAAAGUCCUUUCGGCGGGGAAGAUAAUGACGGUACCCGCAGAAGAAGCCCGGCUAACUCGCGCCAGCAGCCGC